RNAcentral lists this transfer RNA (85 nucleotides) under Gemmatimonadetes bacterium T265. RNAcentral's name for it is "tRNA-Arg". The record is from RNAcentral. Lineage: Bacteria; Pseudomonadati; Gemmatimonadota.
GCGGCGCGACGGGCUGGAGGUGAGUCGCGCGCUGCGGGCGCGCGGGCUGCGCACGCCGCUGUUGAUGCUGACGGCGCGCGACGCG